Molecule: ribosomal RNA, 489 nt
Filed under: unidentified
Description: Shinobium trapezoideum partial 12S ribosomal RNA
Source: RNAcentral
AGGUGAAAUUUAAUUGUUAUUUUAUAUUAAUAUUGAUAAUUAUAACUGAAGCUAAGAAAUCUAAUUAUAAACUAGGAUUAGAUACCCUACUAUUUUAGGAGAAAAUAUAAAGCUAAAUUAGUAUUAGUUAAAUACUUAAAAAUUAAAAAAUUUGGCGGUAAUUUAAUCUUUUCAGAGGAAUUUGUUUUUUAAUCGAUAAACCACGAAGAAUCUUACUUAUUUUUGUUAAUAAAUAAUAAUUAGUUUGUAUACCAUCAUUAUUAGAUAAUUUUUAAAAAAAAAAUUAUUGAAUAUAAAUAAUUAUUAAAAUUAGAUCAUGGUGCAGCUUAUAAAUAAGUUAAAAUGAAUUACAAUAAAUUGUUUUAAAUAAUGGAUUAAUAAAAUAAUUUUUAUUAUGAAGGAGGAUUUGAUAGUAUUAUAAAUUUAAUAUGUUUAUAAGAUAGUAGCUCUAAAUUAUGUACAUAUCGCCCGUCGCUUUCGUUUAUAAAU